This is a long non-coding RNA of Lates calcarifer (barramundi perch), 373 nucleotides long. RefSeq lists it as uncharacterized. The transcript has 3 exons. NCBI's taxonomy places the organism in Eukaryota, Metazoa, Chordata, Actinopteri, Centropomidae. The record is from RefSeq and is a predicted model, not a curated record.
AUCCUCUGAUUGAUGUUGUUUACUGAUGUGGAGGAAGAUGCUCAUCAGCUUGAUUUAAUCAUGAAUUCUGAGGGGACUUAGCGUCAUUUUAAAGUGGAUGCUGUAGAGAGAGGUGUGUCACAGUCCACUGGUGUCUAAUCUGCUGCCAUCAUCCUUCAGGAGCUCCUCACAAUUGUCUAGCAGCCACGGACCAGGCUUUGCUAAGCUGAACCGGAGAGAUGGUGCUGGAGGUUGGUCUCCUCUGAGUUCAGACAGGUAUCAGUCAUUGGAGGUUGACCUGGGAGGGCGAACACAAAUCACUGCUGUUGCCACACAAGGCCGGUAUGGCAGCUCUGAUUGGUUGACGGCCUACCUGUUGAUGUUCAGUGACACA